This 354-nucleotide unclassified non-coding RNA is filed under the name soil metagenome. Its description in RNAcentral is "partial contains 5.8S ribosomal RNA, internal transcribed spacer 2, and large subunit ribosomal RNA". The stretch from base 1 to 120 matches the Rfam family "5.8S ribosomal RNA", at positions 35 to 154 of the family's 154-position model. The record is from RNAcentral.
GAUGAAGAACGUAGCGAAAUGCGAUAAGUAAUGUGAAUUGCAGAAUUCAGUGAAUCAUCGAAUCUUUGAACGCACAUUGCGCCCGCUGGUAUUCUAGCGGGCAUGCCUGUUCGAGCGUCAUUUCAACCCUCAAGCCCCCGGGCUUGGCGUUGGGGAUCGGCCGGGCCCUCCGGGGCCCCCGGGCGCCCCCGAAAUCUAGUGGCGGUCUCGCUGUAGCCUCCUCUGCGCAGUAGUAAAACACUCGCAACAGGAGCCCGGCGCGGUCCACUGCCGUAAAACCCCCCAACUUUUUAUAGUUGACCUCGAAUCAGGUAGGACUACCCGCUGAACUUAAGCAUAUCAAUAAGCGGAGGA